UUGUCAGGUUAGAUGAUUCUUAUCUGUUCCUCUAUUCAGAGGUCAGAUAGAACAUGAUGAUUGAAGUUUUUAUAAUUAGUGCUUAAGGUCUUUGCAUGAUUAGGGCUCCUAACACCCUAAAUGCUCCUAUCUGUU
Sorex fumeus (smoky shrew) is the source of this 135-nucleotide small nucleolar RNA. RefSeq annotates it as U8 small nucleolar RNA. The transcript has a single exon. Lineage: Eukaryota; Metazoa; Chordata; Mammalia; Eulipotyphla; Soricidae. The record is from RefSeq and is a predicted model, not a curated record.